GUCCAAAUCAGUCUUGAGUCCUUUCAUUUCAACUGUAGCUGGAGGGGUUGAUGGCUUGGGUGGAGGAAGAGGGGUUGUAUCUGGGAUUGUGCUAAUUACAUGUGAAGUAUUAGAUUGGUUCUGGCAAGGCUGUACUCGCUUUGGAAGGCAUAUUAUCUUGUCUUGCAUGACCUGCAGUGUGCACCCAAACACGCCGAUCAUCAGCAUGGCCACAGAGAGAUAGUCCGUGAACACAUCCCACCAGGGCUUCAGCAC
This 255-nucleotide long non-coding RNA is filed under the name Gallus gallus (chicken). The record is from RNAcentral. Lineage: Eukaryota; Metazoa; Chordata; Aves; Galliformes; Phasianidae.